This 665-nucleotide ribosomal RNA is filed under the name uncultured Actinomycetes bacterium. RNAcentral's name for it is "bacterial SSU rRNA". It matches the Rfam family "Bacterial small subunit ribosomal RNA", at positions 75 to 755 of the family's 1533-position model. Lineage: Bacteria; Bacillati; Actinomycetota; Actinomycetes. The record is from RNAcentral.
GCCCUUCGGGGUGGAUCAGUGGCGAACGGGUGAGUAACACGUGGGCAAUCUGCCCUGCAUUCUGGGACAAGCCUUGGAAACGAGGUCUAAUACCGGAUACGACGCAUCCCCGCAUGGGGUGUGCGUGGAAAGCUCCGGCGAUGCAGGAUGAGCCCGCGGCCUAUCAGCUUGUUGGUGGGGUAAUGGCCUACCAAGGCGACGACGGGUAGCCGGCCUGAGAGGGCGACCGGCCACACUGGGACUGAGACACGGCCCAGACUCCUACGGGAGGCAGCAGUGGGGAAUAUUGCACAAUGGGCGAAAGCCUGAUGCAGCGACGCCGCGUGAGGGAUGACGGCCUUCGGGUUGUAAACCUCUUUCAGCAGGGAAGAAGCGCAAGUGACGGUACCUGCAGAAGAAGCACCGGCUAACUACGUGCCAGCAGCCGCGGUAAUACGUAGGGUGCGAGCGUUGUCCGGAAUUAUUGGGCGUAAAGAGCUCGUAGGCGGCCUGUCACGUCGGAUGUGAAAGCCCGGGGCUUAACUCCGGGUCUGCAUUCGAUACGGGCAGGCUAGAGUGUGGUAGGGGAGAUCGGAAUUCCUGGUGUAGCGGUGGAAUGCGCAGAUAUCAGGAGGAACACCGGUGGCGAAGGCGGAUCUCUGGGCCAUUACUGACGCUGAGGAGCG